GCUGCAGACCAGACAGAGGGGUCAUUUAGCUAACAAGCUAGCGCUCGCCGUUAAAGAGCGCAGAAGAAGAAGAAGAAAAGCAUCAGGAGCGGGUCGCCCAGGUGGGGGCUUCACUGACCCGCUGCACGCUGAAAAAUGCGGCGCUUCCCGUCACAUGAUCCCGCACCAUCCUAUCACGCUGUGAUUGCGCUGGGAAAAGGAGGAGAGAGAAAGAAGAAAAAAAAAGAAGCACCGACGGAUGCUGCGACCGACACGUAAUUUAUUUUCUACUGGGAUAAAUCACAUAAAACAUUCAUCGGUGUCCGCGCCGGACUAUUUUUAAGCAUCGUGCGGUGCCACACACGGGACAGUCGUCUCUGCGAAGAACUGAUGGUUUGAUCACACCGUCUUAUUUCUUCUUAACCCACUCUCUUCAUACAGCUGUCAACAAUGAGGCUCAGGAGGCAACACAAACACCACAAGGCACCACGUAUUUACUUAUAGCUUUAUUGCAAAACAAACAAACAAUAACAAAGACAUGACAGGAGCAUGUGGCUAAAUGUUUAGUUCAAAAGCCUGUCAUCAUCAUCCCCCCCCAUCUCUUCUGGGAGAUCGAUAAGUGAUUAUAACAUGUAGGAAAAUGUAGGGUAGAAGAAGUAAAAGAAAGAUAAUCAAAUUAAGUUACGUAACUGGGCAGUCAGACUUUACACUAAAUCAUUCAGGACUGAGGAGAUUUUAUUUAUUGUGUGUUGGCGACAGAUAAGGACUGUAUUAAAUGUCGGUCAUGCAGCAAUCUUUUCGUAUAUUAAAGUAAUCCUGCAUUCGUCGGCAAUUGUUCGUUUUUCGUUUCUAGUAAAUGUCUGGAGUCCCCCA
Long non-coding RNA from Scophthalmus maximus (turbot), 852 nucleotides. RefSeq lists it as uncharacterized. The record is from RefSeq and is a predicted model, not a curated record. Lineage: Eukaryota; Metazoa; Chordata; Actinopteri; Pleuronectiformes; Scophthalmidae. The transcript has 2 exons.